This 253-nucleotide ribosomal RNA is filed under the name uncultured bacterium. RNAcentral describes it as "partial 16S ribosomal RNA". It matches the Rfam family "Bacterial small subunit ribosomal RNA", at positions 524 to 776 of the family's 1533-position model. The record is from RNAcentral.
UACGUAGGGUGCAAGCGUUGUCCGGAAUUAUUGGGCGUAAAGAGCUCGUAGGCGGUCUGUCACGUCGGCUGUGAAAACCCGGGGCUCAACCCCGGGCCUGCAGUCGAUACGGGCAGACUAGAGUGCGGUAGGGGAGACUGGAAUUCCUAGUGUAGCGGUGAAAUGCGCAGAUAUCAGGAGGAACACCGGUGGCGAAGGCGGGUCUCUGGGCCGUAACUGACGCUGAGGAGCGAAAGCGUGGGGAGCGAACAGG